UACGAAGGGUGCAAGCGUUACUCGGAAUUACUGGGCGUAAAGCGUGCGUAGGUGGUUUGUUAAGUCUGUUGUGAAAGCCCCGGGCUCAACCUGGGAAUGGCAAUGGAUACUGGCAAGCUAGAGUGCGGUAGAGGGUAGUGGAAUUCCCGGUGUAGCGGUGAAAUGCGUAGAGAUUGGGAGGAACACCAGUGGCGAAGGCGGCUACCUGGACCAGCACUGACACUGAGGCACGAAAGCGUGGGGAGCAAACAGG
RNAcentral lists this ribosomal RNA (253 nucleotides) under uncultured bacterium. RNAcentral describes it as "partial 16S ribosomal RNA". It matches the Rfam family "Bacterial small subunit ribosomal RNA", at positions 524 to 776 of the family's 1533-position model. The record is from RNAcentral.